AUUCUGGUGUGGGCACUUCCUCAACAACUCCUUAAAUCUCUCCCAUGCCUCAAACAACAAUUCUAAGUCCAACUGUAUAAAAGAAGUAAUCUCCUAACACAGCUU
Small nucleolar RNA from Dioscorea cayenensis subsp. rotundata (Guinea yam), 105 nucleotides. The record is from RefSeq and is a predicted model, not a curated record. Lineage: Eukaryota; Viridiplantae; Streptophyta; Magnoliopsida; Dioscoreales; Dioscoreaceae.